RNAcentral lists this ribosomal RNA (497 nucleotides) under uncultured bacterium. Its description in RNAcentral is "partial 16S ribosomal RNA". It matches the Rfam family "Bacterial small subunit ribosomal RNA", at positions 28 to 507 of the family's 1533-position model. The record is from RNAcentral.
GAUGAACGCUGGCGGCGUGCCUAAUACAUGCAAGUCGAGCGAACAGACGAGGAGCUUGCUCCUCUGACGUUAGCGGCGGACGGGUGAGUAACACGUGGAUAACUUACCUAUAAGACUGGGAUAACUUCGGGAAACCGGAGCUAAUACCGGAUAAUAUAUUGAACCGCAUGGUUCAAUAGUGAAAGACGGUUUUGCUGUCACUUAUAGAUGGAUCCGCGCCGCAUUAGCUAGUUGGUAAGGUAACGGCUUACCAAGGCAACGAUGCGUAGCCGACCUGAGAGGGUGAUCGGCCACACUGGAGCUGAGACACGGUCCAGACUCCUACGGGAGGCAGCAGUAGGGAAUCUUCCGCAAUGGGCGAAAGCCUGACGGAGCAACGCCGCGUGAGUGAUGAAGGUCUUCGGAUCGUAAAACUCUGUUAUUAGGGAAGAACAAAUGUGUAAGUAACUAUGCACGUCUUGACGGUACCUAAUCAGAAAGCCACGGCUAACUACGUG